Molecule: ribosomal RNA, 414 nt
Filed under: uncultured Nocardioides sp.
Lineage: Bacteria; Bacillati; Actinomycetota; Actinomycetes; Propionibacteriales; Nocardioidaceae
Description: bacterial SSU rRNA
Rfam family: Bacterial small subunit ribosomal RNA
Source: RNAcentral
GUGCCAGCCGCCGCGGUAAUACGUAGGGUGCGAGCGUUGUCCGGAAUUAUUGGGCGUAAAGGGCUCGUAGGCGGUUUGUCGCGUCGGGAGUGAAAACGCCGUGCUUAACACGGCGCUUGCUUUCGAUACGGGCAGACUAGAGGUAUUCAGGGGAGAACGGAAUUCCUGGUGUAGCGGUGAAAUGCGCAGAUAUCAGGAGGAACACCGGUGGCGAAGGCGGUUCUCUGGGAAUGACCUGACGCUGAGGAGCGAAAGUGUGGGGAGCGAACAGGAUUAGAUACCCUGGUAGUCCACACCGUAAACGUUGGGCGCUAGGUGUGGGGUCCAUUCCACGGAUUCCGUGCCGCAGCUAACGCAUUAAGCGCCCCGCCUGGGGAGUACGGCCGCAAGGCUAAAACUCAAAGGAAUUGACGG